AGUUUUACAUGUGAGGAAACAAGAAUUGUAUGUUAUGGCUGGAAUGUUAACUCAGUGAUUCUAGAGGAACUGAGGUAUAUUCUUUGUAAAUCUACUAAGCAUCUACUGUGACAGGAAUAAUUCAAGGAUCUAAGGAAGGGCUCAAGCAGACAUGCGACCUGUUGUUUCUUAGUUACUGUAUGCAUCCUCAGUGUUGAAUUUUUGAAUUCAAAAUUUUGAAAUCUUGAAUGCCUUCUCUGAGUAGAGGCCAAUUCCAGGUAUGGAAGGUUCAGGGGUGAACUAUAUGGGAAAUGUACCUGCUUUUAUCGAAUUUACUUCCAAUCAGGGAUAAACUGAGGGAGUUAAUAAAAAAGGGAACAAAUAAAUGAACAAAGUAAUUUCAGAUAAAGGAUAAAGGCUUUGAAGAUGGUAAGACAGUGAUGUAAUAACGGGGACUGGAAGGUGCAGGCUUUGGAUGGGAGUAACAAGAACUACUUUUUUUCCCUCUUUUUUUAAAAUGAAAUUAAGUUGAUUCGCAAUGUUAUAUUAGUUUCAUGUAUUCAGCAAAGUGAUUCACUUACACACACACACACACACAUUCUUUUUUUCGUAUUCUUUUUCCUUAGAGGUUAUUACAAGAUAUUGAGACCAAAAAACAAACAAAAAGCAAACCAAAAAAAAAAAGAAAAAAGAAAGAAAGAUAAGAAAAAUAUUAGGAGUUCCUAUCGUGGCUCAGCAGUUAGCAAACCCAACUAGCAUCCAUGAGGACUUGGGUUCAAUCCCUGGCCUCGCUCAGUGGGCUAAGGAUCCGGCAUUGUGGUGAGCUGUGGUGUAGGUCAAAGACAUGGCUCAAAUCCCAUGUUGCUGUGGCUGUGGUGUAGGUUGGCAGCUACAGCUCCGAUUGGACCCCUAGCCUGGGAACAUCCGUAUGCCAUGUGUGCGGCCCUAAAAAGACAAAGACCAAAAAAAAACAAAAAACAAAAAACAAGAUAUUGAGUAUAAUUCCCUGUGCUAUACAGUGGGUCCUUGUUCAUCUGUUUUAUGCAUAGCAGUGUAUAUAUGUUAAUAUCAAACUCCUAAUUUAUCCUCCCUCUCCCCCCUCCCCUUUCAUAACCAUAAGUUUGUUUCUAUGUCUGUGAGUCUAUUUCUGUUUUGAAAAAUAAGUUCAUUUGUAUCUUUUUUUUUUACAUUCCACAUAUAAGCAAUAUCAUAGGAUAUUUGUCAUUCUCUGUCUGGCUUAUUUUACUUAGUAUAAAUAUAAUAAUCUUUAGGUCCAUCCAUGUUGUUGCAAAUGGCAUUAUUUCAGUCUUUUUUUAUAGCCAAGUAAUAUCCCAUUGUGUAUGUAUAUGUGUAUAUAUAUGUAUAUAUAUGUGUAUAUAUAUAUACAUAUAUGUACAUAUAUGUAUUCCACAUCUUUAUCCAUUCCUCUGUUGAUAGACAUUUAAGGUGCUUCCAAGUCUUGGCUAUUGUAAAUAGUGCUGCUAUGAACAUUAGGGUGCGUGUAUUUUUUUGAAUUAGAAUUUAUAUCUUUUCCAGAUAUGUGCUCAGAAAUGGAAUAGAUGGAUCAUAUGGUACUUCUAUUUUUAGUUUUUUAGGGUCUCUCCAUACUGUUUUCCAAUUUAUGUCAAAGAAUGUUUGGCCUAUGUUUUUCUUCAGGAUUUUUAUAGUAUCCAGUCUUAUGUUUAGGUCUUUAAUCCAUUUUGAGUUUAUUUUUAUAUAUGGUAUUAGAGAAUGUUCUAAUUUCAUUCUUUACAUGUAGCUGUCCAGUUUUCUCAGCACCAUUUACUGAAGAGACUGUCUUUUCUCCAUUGUAUAUUCUUGCCUGAUGAGAGCUACUUUAAACUGGUUGAUGUUCUCUCUGACUAAGUGGAAUUUGUGCUCAGGCCUGAAUAACAUGAAAAAGUUAGCCCUGUGGCAACAUGAGAGCAGGGAAGACAAGUGAAAUGGCACUUGUGAUAAUGAGCUUGGUAUGCCAGGGACUGGAAGAAGACAAGUGUGGCCAGAGAAUAGAGCACAAGAUGGCAGCAUCCUUAGUAUGAGAUCAGGUCCUUUAUCCUAGAUUAACUAAAUUGAUAAUUUGGUUACAAAGAUUUAACUCCAGGAUUCAGAAUUUAAUACUUUUAGGUCGAGGUCAUUGUUCAUGUACAAUGGCAUAAGAUUUUAUAUCAAAUGUCCUUUUAAAAGAAUUCAUAUGACAAGAAGAUAUGAAUUCAACUUAAGGCAGCAAGGGAAAAAAAUCCAUUUAAUGAAGUACCGAGCACUUCUAUGUAUCAGAAUUAGGUGGAGGUAGGUGUAUAAAUAAGACAUGAUCCUAACAUCGAGGUCCCUGAAAGGUAGUAUGCAGGUUAAAACCAUCACCUAUUAGUCAGAUGUAUGAAAAACUAGCCAACCUCAGACGUUAUCCUCAUGUCUGAAACUGCACUUGUGGACCUUCUCAAUUACAACUGGACCUUCUUGUCCAGUAUUCACUGUGUUUGAUUGAAAUCAGGUUUAAAGUUAAGUAAAGCAAGUUGUACAUAAUGGGUGCUUAUUAACUAUUGUUUCAUUUAUUAUUUUUAUUGACAACACAUGAAAGAUUCAAUGUAUGCAAUUUUUACCAACAUUAUUACUACAUCUAUGCUGUAAUCAUAACAGAAUAAGGAAUAAUGCAGAAUUUUAUUUUAUUUUAAUUUUAAUUUUUUGUCUUUUGAGGGCCGCAACUGAGGCAUAUGGAGGUUCCCAGGCUAGGAGUCUAAUCAGAGCUGUAGCUGCCGGCCUACUCCAGAGCCACAGCAAUGCCAGAUCCAAGCCGCAUCUGAGACCUACACCACAGCUCACAGCAACGCGGGAUCCUUAACCCAUUGAGCAAGGCCAGGGAUAGAACCUGCAACCUCAUGGUUCCUAGUUCGAUUCACUUCCACUGUGCCACAAUGGGAACUCCUAAUGCAGAAUUUUAAAUCCACAUAUUCAAACUAUUUCCACAUAUCCUAUCAGUUGCAAUGUAUAUCUUAUUUUCUAAAUCUGACUAUAAUUUUUUAUUUUAAAUUUUCAGUUGAAUUUCUGAAAUGAAUUAGUCUUAGGACAAUUGUGAUUUGACAAAUCAUUAGAGACCUUUAUUUGUCUUCCUUAUUUAAAUUAUUUAGCUUCUAAGCUGUAAUACUUCAAAGCCAACUAAACAUACAUGCCU
RNAcentral lists this long non-coding RNA (3145 nucleotides) under Sus scrofa (pig). RNAcentral's name for it is "lncRNA (ENSSSCG00000053066.1)". Lineage: Eukaryota; Metazoa; Chordata; Mammalia; Artiodactyla; Suidae. The record is from RNAcentral.